GCAGUCGAACGAACUCUGGUAUUGAUUGGUGCUUGCAUCAUGAUUUACAUUUGAGUGAGUGGCGAACUGGUGAGUAACACGUGGGAAACCUGCCCAGAAGCGGGGGAUAACACCUGGAAACAGAUGCUAAUACCGCAUAACAACUUGGACCGCAUGGUCCGAGCUUGAAAGAUGGCUUCGGCUAUCACUUUUGGAUGGUCCCGCGGCGUAUUAGCUAGAUGGUGAGGUAACGGCUCACCAUGGCAAUGAUACGUAGCCGACCUGAGAGGGUAAUCGGCCACAUUGGGACUGAGACACGGCCCAAACUCCUACGGGAGGCAGCAGUAGGGAAUCUUCCACAAUGGACGAAAGUCUGAUGGAGCAACGCCGCGUGAGUGAAGAAGGGUUUCGGCUCGUAAAACUCUGUUGUUAAAGAAGAACAUAUCUGAGAGUAACUGUUCAGGUAUUGACGGUAUUUAACCAGAAAGCCACGGCUAACUACGUGCCAGCAGCCGCGGUAAUACGUAGGUGGCAAGCGUUGUCCGGAUUUAUUGGGCGUAAAGCGAGCGCAGGCGGUUUUUUAAGUCUGAUGUGAAAGCCUUCGGCUCAACCGAAGAAGUGCAUCGGAAACUGGGAAACUUGAGUGCAGAAGAGGACAGUGGAACUCCAUGUGUAGCGGUGAAAUGCGUAGAUAUAUGGAAGAACACCAGUGGCGAAGGCGGCUGUCUGGUCUGUAACUGACGCUGAGGCUCGAAAGUAUGGGUAGCAAACAGGAUUAGAUACCCUGGUAGUCCAUACCGUAAACGAUGAAUGCUAAGUGUUGGAGGGUUUCCGCCCUUCAGUGCUGCAGCUAACGCAUUAAGCAUUCCGCCUGGGGAGUACGGCCGCAAGGCUGAAACUCAAAGGAAUUGACGGGGGCCCGCACAAGCGGUGGAGCAUGUGGUUUAAUUCGAAGCUACGCGAAGAACCUUACCAGGUCUUGACAUACUAUGCAAAUCUAAGAGAUUAGACGUUCCCUUCGGGGACAUGGAUACAGGUGGUGCAUGGUUGUCGUCAGCUCGUGUCGUGAGAUGUUGGGUUAAGUCCCGCAACGAGCGCAACCCUUAUUAUCAGUUGCCAGCAUUAAGUUGGGCACUCUGGUGAGACUGCCGGUGACAAACCGGAGGAAGGUGGGGAUGACGUCAAAUCAUCAUGCCCCUUAUGACCUGGGCUACACACGUGCUACAAUGGAUGGUACAACGAGUUGCGAACUCGCGAGAGUAAGCUAAUCUCUUAAAGCCAUUCUCAGUUCGGAUUGUAGGCUGCAACUCGCCUACAUGAAGUCGGAAUCGCUAGUAAUCGCGGAUCAGCAUGCCGCGGUGAAUACGUUCCCGGGCCUUGUACACACCGCCCGUCACACCAUGAGAGUUUGUAACACCCAAAGUCGGUGGGGAACCUUUUAGGAACCAG
Molecule: ribosomal RNA, 1428 nt
Filed under: Lactiplantibacillus plantarum
Lineage: Bacteria; Bacillati; Bacillota; Bacilli; Lactobacillales; Lactobacillaceae
Description: bacterial SSU rRNA
Rfam family: Bacterial small subunit ribosomal RNA
Source: RNAcentral